Ceratotherium simum simum (southern white rhinoceros) is the source of this 299-nucleotide non-coding RNA. The record is from RefSeq and is a predicted model, not a curated record. Lineage: Eukaryota; Metazoa; Chordata; Mammalia; Perissodactyla; Rhinocerotidae.
ACGUCAAAAGGUUGGGGAGCAAAAGAGAUGGAGAAAGAGUGGCUAACAAGGUAGGAGAAAAACCAGGAAAGUGUGGUUGUUCUCCAAGCCAAGUCAAGAAAGUGUUUUAAGGAGGAGGGAGAGACCAGCUGGGUCCAAUGCUGCAGACAGGAUGAGAAAGACGAGGGCGGCCACAGGCUUUAGCAAUGUGGAAGUCACUGGUGACUCCCGCGUAAAUAGCUUCUGUAGAUUGAGGGGGCAAGUCUUACUGAAGACAAGGAAGGGGGAGAGCAUGGACAGUUCCUCCAGCAGGAAGGCAG